This is a long non-coding RNA of Phodopus roborovskii (desert hamster), 309 nucleotides long. RefSeq lists it as uncharacterized. The record is from RefSeq and is a predicted model, not a curated record. The transcript has 3 exons. NCBI's taxonomy places the organism in Eukaryota, Metazoa, Chordata, Mammalia, Rodentia, Cricetidae.
UGCACGGAAGAACACCAGGAAAGGCAUAGAGACAUGCGGUGUAUUAUGUGGUACCAUGGUCAAAGAAGAAUACCAUGUGACCCAUGUAAUUAUUCCUGUGCAGACAGCAGGCCCUGAUUAUUGUUAUGCCCAGAAGGAGGAAGAAAUAUUUUUUAAGCAAGAGGAACUGGGCCUUCUGACCUUAGGUUGGAUCCAUACCCAUCCAACCCAGACUGCCUUUUUGUCGAGUGUGGAUGUACACACACAUUUUUGCUACCAGAAGAUGCUGCCACAAUCAAUUGCAGUGGUGUGCGCACCCAAAUAUAAACA